GAACUAAAGCUCAAUGUCUUUACUGUUUGUAGUUAAAUGACUGUACUCGCUGUAUGCUGAAAACCUGCAUCUGCUGCUUGUGGUGCCUGAAGAAGUGUCUAAUGUACCUGAAUCAAAACGCGUACACGGCGACAGGUUUCAACAUCAGCAGUUUCUGUAUGUCGACAUGUGACACCUUCAUCCUCCUGGUAGAGAAUGCCCUCAGAUUGGCCACCAUCAACACCGUGAGGGACUUUGUCCUCUUCCUGGGAAAGUGUGUCUGUGUGUUGUAAGUCCAGGUACUGAUCAUCUCGUGCACGGCGUUCGCUGGCGUGCUGGAGUUCAACUUCCAGCGGGACUACACGGUGUGGGUCCUGCCCCUGCUCAUCAUCUGCCUGUUCUCCUGGCUGGUGGCCCACUGCUUCCUGUCUGUCUUUGAGAUCGUGGUAGAUGUGCUCUUCCUCUGCUUCGCCGUGGACACCAAGAACAACGACGGCAGCCCCGGCCGUGCUCACUUUGGAAGAAGGAUGGAGAAUCGGGACGCUGCCUUAUAAAUGCAGAGGAGUUUGUACAGAACAGUAAGAAUAUGGCGGGAAGGGAUCGGCCGGAGGCAGAUGGAGACGGUCGUGAGAUGAAGCCCAUGACUCAUGGAGGUGGGACUUUUUCUUGACCAAACCAGAAGACGCAAACCAAAAGGCAUUCCAAAUGUUUCCAUGAUAUUACACCACUUCCAGGGACUACAAUAUUUUUGGUAACCUGUUUUUUAAGUUAUGGAACACGUUACAUGAAAGCUUUGGAUUUUUUAAAAAGCACAAUGUGUUUUUGUGACAAAUGUUUUAGCUAACAGAAGUACAUCCAUCAAGAAUAUUGUUUGUGUAGUUUCAUGCUAUUUUACAGGCUGAGAGGUGAUGUUUGUAAGUUAAGCCUUUUGAGUCAAAGAAUUGUGAUUGAUUUUGAAAAUGCAUUCCAUGUCAUCACUGUUAUUUUGUCACCACUACCACGGUACACUACAAGUGUUUUGUAUCUCAAAUGAAUUCUUGGAUUGUGGUAAUGAUGAUCAUGUUCGCAUCUUGUCUUGAAUUGGUAAAUCUAAUACAAUUUUGACAAAUAUAACUGACUAGCAUAACAGAAACGUUCUUACAUGGACAUUUUUUUAAGUUUGUGAUUUUUGAUUUGUGAAAAGUUGUUCGUCCUCACCUGUUAACAGGAUCAUUUUAAUAUGGUGGAUCAAAUAUGAAAGAGCCAUUUACUCUGAUGAGGAUGUUUUAUAUUAGUUUAAUAUAUGAAAUGCAGGUCCUACAAAUAUUGAGGUUGUCUUAUGCCAGAGGCAAUGAAUGAUCAUAACUGACAAUACUUAAAUUGUGGAAACAUUGGGUCAUUACUGCUUAUUGAGGUGUAAUACUGCAUCGAUGAACAAAGGGAUCGUAUAUGACUAUCUCUAUUCCCUUCAUACGUUUUAAUCAAUCGUAUUUUUGAUAACAUUUUUGUGCAGGGUAAUAAAAGAAAGGAAAACAAGCUAUGUCCAUCUGUGUUUGUGAGAGUUGAGAGGCAGGAGAGGAUC
Molecule: non-coding RNA, 1540 nt
Organism: Salmo salar (Atlantic salmon)
Lineage: Eukaryota; Metazoa; Chordata; Actinopteri; Salmoniformes; Salmonidae
Source: RefSeq, a predicted model, not a curated record